Molecule: long non-coding RNA, 420 nt
Organism: Ochlerotatus camptorhynchus
Lineage: Eukaryota; Metazoa; Arthropoda; Insecta; Diptera; Culicidae
Exons: 3
Source: RefSeq, a predicted model, not a curated record
CGUUUGUUGGUGGUGUUAUUUUUCCGAUUCGAACCCACUUCGUGUUGGUGUUUGUGAACCUCUCGCGUCAGAAAAGAAGAAAUCAGUGCUGGCAGUUGUUGGUGUGUGCUCAAAGGCUCUUCUAAACUGGGAAGACGUGGAAGAAAAUCGACAAAAUAAAAACACUGGAUCCCGUGCGAUCUGGACGUUGAACGCUGGUCGGAACAGAGGAACGGGAACGACGACACUCUCUGCCGUGCUACGGACGGAUCGGACCGUCGAGACGAAGCCGAGGGAAGGCGAAAGGAAUUCGGUUGUAACGCAGCGGGAAACCUGAUUUUUGCUUCGCUUGGAGAGUGUACGCGCGAGCCGAGAUUCAGCAGCAUCAGCAGUCAUCCAGGAUCCUGAUUUCAACGGCCAUUCAUCGAUUGCGAUAACAAG